ACCUGACUGGCUCAGUCAGAAGAGCAUAUGACUCUCGAUCUUGGGGUCAUGCGUUCGAGCCCCAUGUUGGGUA
This 73-nucleotide transfer RNA is filed under the name Felis catus (domestic cat). It matches the Rfam family "tRNA". From Rfam's summary of the family: Transfer RNA (tRNA) molecules are approximately 80 nucleotides in length. Lineage: Eukaryota; Metazoa; Chordata; Mammalia; Carnivora; Felidae. RNAcentral also lists the same sequence under 2 other names. The record is from Rfam by way of RNAcentral.